CAAAAUAAAAAAUAUUAAAAAACAGAAAUAGAAACUAGAAAUUAUUUGGGAAAUAAUGCAAUUGGUCCCAUAAUUUUUGGAUUAAAAAUGAGAGAGAUAUGAUUUUUUGAAAUAAAAUGGAAUUAAAGAAAAUAAAAGGAAAUUCAGAAAAAUGAGAAAAAUCCUGGCACGUUGGAUCAACCUCAUUAAAUGAGGUGGCACAUCUAAGGAUC
RNAcentral lists this long non-coding RNA (212 nucleotides) under Lathyrus oleraceus (garden pea). RNAcentral's name for it is "Pisum sativum (pea) long non-coding RNA (PSAT_LNC024251)". The record is from RNAcentral. Lineage: Eukaryota; Viridiplantae; Streptophyta; Magnoliopsida; Fabales; Fabaceae.